RNAcentral lists this transfer RNA (32 nucleotides) under Persicaria capitata. Its description in RNAcentral is "tRNA-Ser". The record is from RNAcentral. Lineage: Eukaryota; Viridiplantae; Streptophyta; Magnoliopsida; Caryophyllales; Polygonaceae.
AACUAUCGAGGGUUCGAAUCCCUCUCUCUCCU